RNAcentral lists this ribosomal RNA (443 nucleotides) under uncultured Thauera sp. Its description in RNAcentral is "bacterial SSU rRNA". It matches the Rfam family "Bacterial small subunit ribosomal RNA", at positions 940 to 1382 of the family's 1533-position model. Lineage: Bacteria; Pseudomonadati; Pseudomonadota; Betaproteobacteria; Rhodocyclales; Zoogloeaceae. The record is from RNAcentral.
UGUGGAUUAAUUCGAUGCAACGUCGAAAAACCUUACCUACCCUUGACAUGUCUGGAACCUUGGUGAGAGGCCGAGGGUGCCUUCGGGAGCCAGAACACAGGUGCUGCAUGGCUGUCGUCAGGCUCGUGUCGUGAGAUGUUGGGUUAAGUCCCGCAACGAGCGCAACCCUUGUCACUAGUUGCCAUCAUUUGGUUGGGCACUCUAGUGAGACUGCCGGUGACAAACCGGAGAAGGUGGGGAUGACGUCAAGUCCUCAUGGCCCUUAUGGGUAGGGCUUCACACGUCAUACAAUGGUCGGUACAGAGGGUUGCCAAGCCGCGAGGUGGAGCCAAUCCCUUAAAGCCGAUCGUAGUCCGGAUCGUAGUCUGCAACUCGACUACGUGAAGUCGGAAUCGCUAGUAAUCGCAGAUCAGCAUGCUGCGGUGAAUACGUUCCCGGGUCUU